GGACUACUGGGGUAUCUAAUCCCGUUUGCUCCCCUAGCUUUCGCGCCUCAGCGUCAGAAAAGGUCCAGCACGCCGCUUUCGCCACCGGAGUUCCUAACGAUAUCAACGCAUUUCACCGCUCCACCGUUAGUUCCGCAUGCCCCUACCUUCCUCGAGGCCGACAGUAUCUAAGGCAGUUCCACGGUUGAGCCGCGGGAUUUCACCCCAGACUUGUCAGCCCGCCUACGCGCCCUUUAAGCCCAGUGAUUCCGAACAACGUUCGCACGGUUCGUCUUACCGCGGCUGCUGGCAC
This 292-nucleotide ribosomal RNA is filed under the name uncultured bacterium. RNAcentral describes it as "partial 16S ribosomal RNA". RNAcentral also lists the same sequence under 2 other names. The record is from RNAcentral.